Rhipicephalus sanguineus (brown dog tick) is the source of this 527-nucleotide long non-coding RNA. RefSeq lists it as uncharacterized. The record is from RefSeq and is a predicted model, not a curated record. The transcript has 3 exons. Lineage: Eukaryota; Metazoa; Arthropoda; Arachnida; Ixodida; Ixodidae.
UUCAGUUCUAGAUCAACCCAACAGUCCAGAGCAGCAGCAACCAGAGCAACAGUCUGAGCAGCCAGGCACCUGUGAGAGGGUGGCCCCCUUACCUCCCUGGGCAAAAUACUAUCGUGGAAGAUGCUGGUACAUCUGCAAAAGUUGGCCUCUGCGCAUUGAAUUUGAGCCUGAAGGUAUCGCCUGUGGGCUGAUGACCGUGAACAACACUAAGAGGGUCUGCAAGAAUGGAACCUGUGUUAAAGCCGAACCUUCCAGCGAAGAAUCGGAGCAGCCAAAACGACUCAUUCCGACCCAAGAGUCCACAUCUAAAGGAGGAACUGGGGUUGGAAAUCUGCUGGGUACGUCGAAGAAGCAGGAUACAGAAGAUACUACUUCGUCCGCUUCGACAAAAGAGAAAUCAACAACAAGUAUUGGAAAAGGCCUCCUAUCGAAGAAGCAAUAGCUUCAGAUGCACUCAGGAAGCGCACGAGCUUUGUAACUGUGUGACAGAUGUUGCGAUGUGGAAGACGGCACUGCUCAAGCGUAUU